UACGUAGGGUGCAAGCGUUAAUCGGAAUUACUGGGCGUAAAGCGUGCGCAGGCGGUUUUGUAAGUCAGAUGUGAAAUCCCCGGGCUCAACCUGGGAACUGCAUCUGUGACUGCAUCGCUGGAGUGCGGCAGAGGGGGAUGGAAUUCCGCGUGUAGCAGUGAAAUGCGUAGAUAUGCGGAGGAACACCGAUGGCGAAGGCAAUCCCCUGGGCCUGCACUGACGCUCAUGCACGAAAGCGUGGGGAGCAAACAGG
Molecule: ribosomal RNA, 253 nt
Filed under: uncultured bacterium
Lineage: Bacteria
Description: partial 16S ribosomal RNA
Rfam family: Bacterial small subunit ribosomal RNA
Source: RNAcentral